This 583-nucleotide ribosomal RNA is filed under the name uncultured bacterium. Its description in RNAcentral is "bacterial SSU rRNA". It matches the Rfam family "Bacterial small subunit ribosomal RNA", at positions 338 to 916 of the family's 1533-position model. The record is from RNAcentral.
CCUACGGGAGGCAGCAGUGGGGAAUUUUGGACAAUGGACGCAAGUCUGAUCCAGCCAUUCCGCGUGCAGGACGAAGGCCUUCGGGUUGUAAACUGCUUUUGUACGGAACGAAAAAGCUCUUAUUAAUACUAGGAGUCUAUGACGGUACCGUAAGAAUAAGCACCGGCUAACUACGUGCCAGCAGCCGCGGUAAUACGUAGGGUGCAAGCGUUAAUCGGAAUUACUGGGCGUAAAGCGUGCGCAGGCGGUUAUAUAAGACAGAUGUGAAAUCCCCGAGCUUAACUUGGGAACUGCAUUUGUGACUGUAUAGCUAGAGUACGGCAGAGGGGGAUGGAAUUCCGCGUGUAGCAGUGAAAUGCGUAGAUAUGCGGAGGAACACCGAUGGCGAAGGCAAUCCCCUGGGCCUGUACUGACGCUCAUGCACGAAAGCGUGGGGAGCAAACAGGAUUAGAUACCCUGGUAGUCCACGCCCUAAACGAUGUCAACUGGUUGUUGGGUCUUCACUGACUCAGUAACGAAGCUAACGCGUGAAGUUGACCGCCUGGGGAGUACGGCCGCAAGGUUGAAACUCAGGAAUUGACGG